Molecule: ribosomal RNA, 251 nt
Filed under: uncultured prokaryote
Description: partial 16S rRNA
Rfam family: Bacterial small subunit ribosomal RNA
Source: RNAcentral
ACGUAGGGGGCGAGCGUUGUCCGGAAUUACUGGGCGUAAAGGGUGCGUAGGCGGCGACUUAAGUUGGAUGUGAAAUCCCCGGGCUUAACCUGGGUGGUGCAUCCAAAACUGAGUCACUAGAGUGCAGGAGAGGGAAGCGGAAUUCCUAGUGUAGCGGUGAAAUGCGUAGAUAUUAGGAGGAACACCAGUGGCGAAGGCGGCUUUCUGGACUGUAACUGACGCUGAGGCACGAAAGCGUGGGGAGCAAACAG